AGCAGGUUCUGGGGAGGAGGUUUCACUUGUCAGUUAGCGGCCAUGUGCCCCAGGCCCCAGAGUGCUCUUUACACCCCUGGUGGAAGGACAGAGCUGGCCCUCCUUGAUGGGGGGAAGCAAGGGUCUGUACCUUGGGCAGGUGCAGGAGAGCCACCUCUCCUGAACCUUGUGCUGGCCCGAGGGCUGAGGUGGAGCCCCAUGAGGACCAAGGCCACACAGAAACCAGGACCCUGAGACCGCGGUUGCCUGUGGUGCAGGACAGCCCAAGGCAGGACCAGGUUCUUCUACCCCUGCUUGUCCCUUGCCCCUCUCGCUGCUGCUGGACACCUUGCCACAGACUUCCGGUGGCUUCCGCAGCCACAUGUGCUCUUCCCACAGCUCUCUGGAAACACCUCACGUGGAGCUGGCCUAAGCCAGCCAGAGCUCCUGACUGCUGCUCAGAGGCCAUCGGAGAGAUACGGACUCCUCCUCCCGUCCUGGCAAGAGGAAUGUUCACACAGAGAUGGAAGAUGCUGGGCAGGAAAGGGGGAGCCCGGAGCUGACGGGCCUCUGCCGAAACCUGGUAUCCUGGGCCCAGACCUGGCCACUGUCAGGCUUGCAAGCCCAGAAGGUCAAAGGCUGGAAUUCCAUCCAAACCAAAGGGCACCCAGAACAGUCCAGGUGAUUGUCUUCUGCCCAGGUCACACUCGGGUCCUCGCAGGUGGUGAUCACUGGCCCUGUUUGGGGUGGUUGGAACUCAGCACUUGGUGAAGGUGGUUUUCUGUCUUCUAGAUCUCCAAGUUCCUGUUCUGGUGGCCGCACGUCACCACGAGAUUCUGCCUCCCCGAUUUUCAAGGGUCUCUGGCUAAAAUGUCAGUGUCUUUGGGAACAGUCACCCUUUCGAGUCUCCAGGGGAAUCUGGAGCAGCUGAGGGUCUGAAUCCAGCCUGAGCUAGGGACCAGGGUGCAGAUGGGGCACUGUGGGAACUCUGGUGCCUAAGUCUGCGUGACACCUGAGCCUGGCCGCCUGGCCUGGGUGAGGUCUGGCGUCGGCCUUGGCGGUGGCCCUGGCUAGCUGUGAUUCAGCUCCAAGGAACCUGCUUCCUCGUCUGCAGCGUGGAAAGAUAGCAGCGUCUACACAGUAGAAUACCUUUGAGAGGUCACAGAGAAUUCGGGCAGCAUUCCUGGUGCCCGUCCUGCUGAGAACGCCCGUCAGUCAUCUAGAGCUCAAGUUUAACACAGAAGGCAGCGGCCAGCGGAUGGAGGGGGCAGGAGGGGCCCCACAAGGAGAGCUUGGCAGUGACCUCUGUCCCUCCAGAGCCCCUCUCCUGCCGCCUUCCUACAGAGGCCAGAAACCUCUAUCCCAUCUGCAGGGCCUGGGCAUGGGGGAGAGUAUCGUGGGAGACCCACAUGCCUCUGUGGGCACCAGGACAGAACGUGGCCCGCUCCACUGACUGGGCAAAAGGUAGGCCAGGUGCCAUGGGGCACUGUGCUGAGGCUGGCGGGCAUUCCUGUCACUGUUUGCCUGAGGUGGGGGCCCAGGCAGAGGCUGGAGGCCCCAACCCCAACUGCAGAUGGGGAGAAGUCAGAGAAAAUAUGCUACCUGUCCACCUGCACCUCCCCCGCGGGUCAUCCCUCCCUGGCUGUGGGGACAGGAAUGAGUCACAGGAUGGGCCCUUGGGCCAACUCACUUCCUGUCCCCCGGCCACAGCCCGUCUGGGGGCUGCAGAGCUCCCGAGUCCUUCCAGACUCGCUCUGUCCUGUGGGGGUGGGUGGGAGAAGAACUGGAGAAUGGCAGGGACCCUGGGGGGUGGGGCUUGCAAGAUAGGGAAAGAGCAUGAGGGACCCAGAGCCCCAGGAGGAGGACAGGUGUGAGUCAGCUCCUGGAGGAGGGGGCACGUAGGCGGGGCCGGGUAUAAGCUGGGCAGCCCUUUGUCACCGUCAUCAUCAUCAAGACACACACGACGAGGUACCAAGCGGGGUGACUUGUGCUUUCUGCUUGGGAACAGCCAUGGCCCUCACUGCAGCCACUGCUAUCACCAGCGCUCACCCCGGAAAUUGGAGGCCAUGAGGGCCAGACUGCCACAAGCCACAGACUCCAAAGUCACAGCCAGCGAGCCCCCAGGGGCUCUUCCCGCGCCCUGGCCUGUCCUUGGUGUGGCCGCUAGCUGGUCCAGCUCAGCCCCUGGCCUCUCUUCCACCUUGGUGCACAAAGCCCUGGGGUGGUAAAGCAGGAGGCCAGCAGGGGCCAGAGGAAGAGGGGUGUGGCUGGCAGAGGAGGGAGCCUGGCCCGUCCGGGGCUGAGUGCCUGCUGGAGCUGUCCGGCUGGUGUUCCGGGUGACUCUGUUGUCCUCUGGGGGCCUGGGCUCCCUCAUCUGUAGCCCCCCCACCCUCCCUGCGCUACCCCCCCCCCACCGUGAGUGAUGCUACUCAGGCUGAGGAGACCCCAGGUCUGGCCCACUGUCCUUGAUGCACUCAGGCCUUCACCUGCACCCCCCCUUGGUGGCCAGCGGGCUUUGCAGGAAUGGCCUCCUUCCCGAGGGAGGGACGAGAGCCUGGCUAACCAGGCAGGGCUAUUUUAAAGGAAGUCACGGCCAACCGGAGAGCAAAGUCUCCAUCUGAGUUUAUGACAGGAUGACAGGAGGGCGGUCAGCCAUCGUCUGCUGGGCUAGAAACUUCAGGACCCUUCCAGAUCUUUCCAUAACCGCAGCUGGGGCUUCCUGAGCCUCCCUUGGUCUCGGGGUCCUACCUCAACCAAGUUCUCCAGCCGUCCAACAGCCUGGGGGCAG
This 2767-nucleotide long non-coding RNA is filed under the name Marmota monax (woodchuck). Lineage: Eukaryota; Metazoa; Chordata; Mammalia; Rodentia; Sciuridae. The record is from RNAcentral.